CACGGGGGGAGCAAGCGUUGUUCGGAAUUACUGGGCGUAAAGGGCGUGUAGGCGGUCAAGUAAGUGGAAUGUGAAACGCCUCGGCUUACCCGAGGACCUGCAUCCCAAACUGCUUGGCUUGAGUAUGGGAGAGGAUGAGGGAAUUCCUGGUGUAGCGGUGAAAUGCGUAGAUAUCCGGAGAAACACCGGUGGCGAAGGCGGGUCUCUGGGCCGAUACUGACGCUGAGGAGCGAAAGCGUGGGGAGCGAACAGG
This 253-nucleotide ribosomal RNA is filed under the name uncultured bacterium. RNAcentral describes it as "partial 16S ribosomal RNA". It matches the Rfam family "Bacterial small subunit ribosomal RNA", at positions 524 to 776 of the family's 1533-position model. The record is from RNAcentral.